GAUGAACGCUGGCGGCGUGCCUAAUACAUGCAAGUCGAGCGAACAGACGAGGAUCUUGCUCCUCUGACGUUAGCGGCGGACGGGUGAGUAACACGUGGAUAACCUACCUAUAAGACUGGGAUAACUUCGGGAAACCGGAGCUAAUACCGGAUAAUAUAUUGAACCGCAUGGUUCAAUAGUGAAAGACGGUUUUGCUGUCACUUAUAGAUGGAUCCGCGCCGCAUUAGCUAGUUGGUAAGAUAACGGCUUACCAAGGCAACGAUGCGUAGCCGACCUGAGAGGGUGAUCGGCCACACUGGAACUGAGACACGGUCCAGACUCCUACGGGAGGCAGCAGUAGGGAAUCUUCCGCAAUGGGCGAAAGCCUGACGGAGCAACGCCGCGUGAGUGAUGAAGGUCUUCGGAUCGUAAAACUCUGUUAUUAGGGAAGAACAAAUGUGUAAGUAACUAUGCACGUCUUGACGGUACCUAAUCAGAAAGCCACGGCUAACUACGUG
Molecule: ribosomal RNA, 497 nt
Filed under: uncultured bacterium
Lineage: Bacteria
Description: partial 16S ribosomal RNA
Rfam family: Bacterial small subunit ribosomal RNA
Source: RNAcentral